This 64-nucleotide transfer RNA is filed under the name Rhagonycha fulva. Its description in RNAcentral is "tRNA-Thr". It matches the Rfam family "tRNA". Rfam says of the family: Transfer RNA (tRNA) molecules are approximately 80 nucleotides in length. Their secondary structure includes four short double-helical elements and three loops (D, anti-codon, and T loops). The record is from RNAcentral. Lineage: Eukaryota; Metazoa; Arthropoda; Insecta; Coleoptera; Cantharidae.
GUUUUAAUAGUUUAAGAAAAACACUGAUCUUGUAAAUCAGAAAUAUGUAAUAACUUUUAAAACU